This 245-nucleotide ribosomal RNA is filed under the name uncultured bacterium. Its description in RNAcentral is "partial 16S ribosomal RNA". It matches the Rfam family "Bacterial small subunit ribosomal RNA", at positions 524 to 770 of the family's 1533-position model. The record is from RNAcentral.
UACGUAGGUGGUGAGCGUUACUCGGAUUUACUAGGUGUAAAGGGCAGGUAGGUGGCUUGGAAAGUUGAAAGUGAAAGCCCCGAUGAAAUCGGGGAGGUCUUUCAAAACUUCCAGGCUUGAGUAUGGUAUGGGGAACCAGAAUUCCAGGUGUAGCGGUGAAAUGCGUAGAUAUCUGGAGGAAUACCGAUGGCGAAAGCGGGUUCCUGGGCCAUUACUGACACUGAGCUGCGAAAGCGUGGGGAGCA